GUACUUGCUUUCGAGUGCUUUCCAAAUUUCUCCCGGAGAUUUCAUUGGAGUAAAGAGAUCAUAUAAGCGAUCCGAUAAAGUUUUCAGAAUAUGCCCACUGCAUAUCAGUUCAUCCUCUUGUCGCUUCUUCCUAUCAGCAAUUAUCUUCUCGGUGUCUUUAUCGCUUGGUUCAGGAAACGGCUGCAGACCCGGAUCAAGAAGAUAGGCUAAGUUCAAAACAGUAAGGAGAAAGAGGAUCUUAUCUUUCCAGCGAGCGAAAUUGGUUCCAUCGAAUUUUUCCAACUUCCAGACAUCUUGAUUCAUCACUUUGUGUUGUUAGGGACCGUGAAGGAGUUUGAUUGAUUCCAGUUUCGGUGGAUAUUCUGAAAAUAUCUAACUGAGGGUGGACAUCUAUACUUCUUCUAUUAUUUGUUUUCGUUAUGUAGUUGCGAGGCAGUGGGGAUACUUUCUCUGGGAAUGUCAAGGCAUGAUACUAGGAGACGUACUGGUACUGGGAGAGGUGGUAACGGAAAUGGUGGUCUUGUUGAUGGAGAUGAACCACAAUUAGGAAAUCAGACUGUGAUAUGAAUAUGGCGCAACUGACCCAGUUAAUAGCCCAAGCACUCGCUGCUGCUAAGAAUCAAAAUGUUGGACAGGUCAAUAAUCAUCAGAACCAAGGACCGCCUGCUGAAACUAAGGAAGAUAGGUAUGGAAAGGUUCAGUUUCAGUUCAAGAAGUUGAACCCGGAAGAGUUUUCUGGAAAGUUUGAUAACCCAAUGAUAGCCCAUGAAUGGAAGGAUGAGAUAGUUUUAGGGCCAUGAGACCUUCUUGCAGGGAAGUCUUUAAGCAGAGAUUAGCUACCUUUGAGCUCACUGGAUAUGCUCAUACUUGGUGGACUUCAUCUUCACGUGGAUUGGAUCAUGCCACCCUUGUUAGAGCAUUGCUCGGUUGAACCCACCAAGCGUUGGUAUGUCAAGUUUGGUUGUCAUUUUUAGUGAAUCAAAACUCAUGUUAAGAGUCGCUUGAUU
Papaver somniferum (opium poppy) is the source of this 1007-nucleotide long non-coding RNA. RefSeq lists it as uncharacterized. The transcript has 3 exons. The record is from RefSeq and is a predicted model, not a curated record. Lineage: Eukaryota; Viridiplantae; Streptophyta; Magnoliopsida; Ranunculales; Papaveraceae.